This is a non-coding RNA of Camelina sativa (false flax), 3284 nucleotides long. The record is from RefSeq and is a predicted model, not a curated record. NCBI's taxonomy places the organism in Eukaryota, Viridiplantae, Streptophyta, Magnoliopsida, Brassicales, Brassicaceae.
AGAGCCAGUCUACUAAUAGAAGCCGAAGCGAGAAGUUUAAUCCUCAUCCUGAAGAAGUUGCAUCUGGUUUCCCAAUUGAUCCACCGAGGCCAUCAUCACAAGCAUUUGAACCAAACAGAUAGUCUCAGGGUAUCAUUAUUCCUCACAAGAGAGCUUCACAUUCCGGUCCUUUAUCACGUAGAUCUGCUUCCGCAAAGGGUAGGAGGAACUACCAAGAUUCUCAAAAGUUUUCGUCCAUAGCUGAUUACUCAACAAUGCCUGAUUUGAAGAAGCUUGUCUCCGCUUGAAACAUGUGGUCGAGGUAUGUAUAUCGCUUGUCUUCCUGAUUUUAAUUUUGGUUUGGUUUGGUUUUGUUUUUCAGUUUUUGAGGAUCGAAAUUUAACAAGAGAACAACAAACCUUUACUGGAUCAGUUCUCGUCUAUGGUUUUGUUUUGCAAUUGAUGACAUCAUCAGUCUUGGUAUUUAUAUAUCCAAGUCAUCUGUUUUUCAAAGCCUUUUUAAAAUUGUUCUACAGAACUUGUUGGUUUUUUGUUUUUGGAAGGUUUUUGUUUUGUUUUUUUAAAACCCAAAGAGAUUCAUGGGCAGACACUAAUCUAAUGGUGCUCUGUCUGAUUCUUUUUGGGGACAUUGUCCCGAACGGAAUCGGAUAUAUUGGAUGGGUAGUGCAUGCAUGUUGGGAGGGAAUGACCGAGACGGGAAAAAGGAAUAAAAAGAGUUCACAAUUUGACUCUCCCCGACUUAAGACAUUGAAAGAAGUCACAGACUUUGGGUUGGAUGGUAAAAACGACCAACCCUUUGUUUGAUGGGGGAAUGACCAACGGCUUAAGAAGUCUAUAAGACAGAGACUGUGUAUAAAGGGGAAAAAAUAAAAGAAAGAGUUCAUAAUUUGACUACCCCUGACUUAAGACAUAGAAAGUAGUCACAGACUUUAGGUUGGAUGGUAUAAACGACCAACCUUUUGUUUGAUGGAAUCAGACCAGCGGCUUAAUGAAGUCUAUAAGACUGAGACUGUAUAAAGGGGGAAAAAGAAAAGAAAGAGUUCACAAUUUGACUACCCCUGACUUAAGACAUAGAAAGAAGUCACAGACUUUGGGUUGGAGGAUUAAAACGACCAACCUUUUGUUUGAUGGAAUCAGACCAGCGGCUUAAAAAUAUGAGGCAUAAAGACAACAGUAGACAAAGAAAUAAGACAUCAAAGGAAACUAAUAGACCAACGGCUUAAAGAAUAGCAGAUACCACGGGCUUAAAGAAAUAAGACAAAGAUCUUUGACAAAGACAAUGGAGUGAUUAAGACUUGUUGGAUGGUAACAACGACCAACACUUGAGGAAAGACUUGUUGGAUGGUAAAAACGACCAACACAUUAAGAGAAAGAGGUUGAAUAAAGGCUGAACCUAAAAAUAAUAGACCAACGGCUUAAAGAAAUAAGACAAAGAGACAAAGACUUGUUGGAUGGUAAAAACGACCAACACUUGAGGUAGACUUGUUGGAUGGUACAAACGACCAACACUUGAGGUAGACUUGUUGGAUGGUAAAAACGACCAGCACUUUAAGAGAAAGAGGUUAAGAUAAAGGCUGAACCUGAAAACUAAUAGACCAACGGCUUAAAGAAGUUAUAAGACUAUAGAGCGGUUACCAACGGCUUAAAAACGAUAAAGACAAAGAUAUUUGACAAAGACUUGUUCGAUGGUAUAAACGACCAACACAUUAAGAGGAAGAGGUAAAGAUAAAGAUAAAGGCUGAACCUAGUACUAAUAGACCAACGGCUUAAAGAAGUUAUAAGACAAUGGAGUGGACCAACGGCUUAAUAAAGAUUUGACAAGGAUAUGUGACAAAGACUUGUUGGAUGGUAAAAACGACCAACACUUGAGUAAGACUUGUUGGAUGGUAAAAACGACCAACACUUGAGGAAAGACUUGUUGGAUGGUAAAAACGACCAGCACAUUAAGAGAAAGAGGUUAAAAAAAAGGUUGAACCUAAAAACUAUUAGACCAACGGCUUAAAGAAGUUAUAAGACUAUUGAGUGGUUACCAACGGCUUAAAGAAAUAAGACAAAGAUAUAUCUGACAAUGACAACAAUGGAGUGGUUAAGACUUGUUGAUUUAUUGGAUACAAAAGAUGAUCAAUAGCUUCAAAAAAUGAGGUAAGUAUCAAGCAUUUCCAUUAAAUGAAGACUAACUAAUUUUAAUUUUGGGCAGGUUAUAUUCUUCUGAAGGCGUUGAGGAGAUUCCAAGUGUAGCAGACUUCUUGAACAGGUUAUGUAUAUUGGAUUAAAGACUAACCAGGGAAGUAAGCCGGUGAUUAUUUAAGGAAAUGAAGUUGAGUAGUGGUGUGUGGAGAUAAAUACAAAGCUUGGAUUGAGUACAAGGGCUAAGGCUAUUGUCACGGUCCAACAGAAAACGUCUUGAAACCUAAAAAGCCUUAAUAUUGAAAUUGCGAAACUGGGCUAUAUCUAUGUAAAGUUCUCAUUGGAGAAAACCGGUCUCACAUUGAUUAUGUCAGAAGCUUACUUGGUUCACACAAAGACGAUAACUUGUUGAUGAUGGCUCUAUUGUGAGAGCUUUGGAAUGUGAAGAUGUUAGCUUGCGUCAGUGGUUAGACAAUCCUGACCGAUCCGUUGAUGCGUUUGAGUGUUUUCACGUUUUCAGACAAAUCGUUGAGAUUGUCAAUGCAGCUCACUCUCAAGGCAUUGUUGUUCAUAAUGUUAGGCCUUCUUGUUUCGUUAUGUCUUCCUUUAACCAUGUUUCGUUUAUCGAAUCCGCUUCUUGUUCGGAUUCCGGUUCUGAUGAGGAGAUUACAACAAAGUCUCGAGAGGUUGGGAGCUCGUGGAAAAGAAGAUGUUCUAUCAGAGAGACGAACAUUAAUUCCACUAUUAAGAAACUUUGCUUGGGUACGGUGAGGGACUCUUGAGGAAUUUGAUGAGUCUGCUUCAGUUUUGGUUUGGAACUUGUCAAGUGAACGUGAUGGAAGAAGAGCUUGGUUGCCCCAGCUAGACUCUUAACUUUGGUUCUUGAGGAGUUCUGGUGUUGUUGUUCCCACUGACAUUCAGGAAGGAUGGGUUCAAAAACUUCAUUUGCAAGGGAUAGAGGUCAAACAAGUUUCUGAUGGGCUCGGUUAAGGAUUUCAAAGUUGUCAUCAAGGCUUGUGUAGUCAAAAGAGCAUAAGAGUAAAAUAUAUUACUUUUGAAUGGAACAGGGAGAGUGGUGACAUAUUUGUGAACUGAUCAUCCCAGGAAUAAACUAGUAUAGCUGAAUCAGACAUGGCUGUUAUUUUCUUUAUAAAGGG